RNAcentral lists this ribosomal RNA (323 nucleotides) under uncultured eukaryote. RNAcentral describes it as "partial 18S ribosomal RNA". It matches the Rfam family "Eukaryotic small subunit ribosomal RNA", at positions 1470 to 1796 of the family's 1831-position model. The record is from RNAcentral.
CCCUUAGAUGUUCUGGGCCGCACGCGCGCUACACUGAUGCAUUCAACGAGUUUCUUCCUGGUCCGAGAGGAAUGGGAACCUUUUGAAAGUGCAUCGUGAUAGGGAUAGACUAUUGCAAUUAUUGGUCUUCAACGAGGAAUUCCUAGUAGACGUAGUUCAUCAGACUGCAUCGAUUACGUCCCUGCCCUUUGUACACACCGCCCGUCGCUCCUACCGAUUGAAUGCUCAGGUGAGCCAUUCGGACUUUCAUCAUGCUGGUUUCCAGUUUUGAUGAAGGAAAGUCUUGCGAACCUUAUCAUUUAGAGGAAGGAGAAGUCGUAACA